UCGAGUGGCGUACGGGUGAGUAACACGUGGGUGAUCUGCCCUGCACUCUGGGAUAAGCCUGGGAAACUGGGUCUAAUACCGGAUAGGACCACACACUUCAUGGUGAGUGGUGCAAAGCUUUUGCGGUGUGGGAUGAGCCCGCGGCCUAUCAGCUUGUUGGUGGGGUAAUGGCCCACCAAGGCGACGACGGGUAGCCGGCCUGAGAGGGUGACCGGCCACACUGGGACUGAGAUACGGCCCAGACUCCUACGGGAGGCAGCAGUGGGGAAUAUUGCACAAUGGGCGCAAGCCUGAUGCAGCGACGCCGCGUGAGGGAUGACGGCCUUCGGGUUGUAAACCUCUUUCAGUAGGGACGAAGCGAAAGUGACGGUACCUACAGAAGAAGGACCGGCCAACUACGUGCCAGCAGCCGCGGUAAUACGUAGGGUCCGAGCGUUGUCCGGAAUUACUGGGCGUAAAGAGCUCGUAGGUGGUUUGUCGCGUUGUUCGUGAAAACUCACAGCUUAACUGUGGGCGUGCGGGCGAUACGGGCAGACUAGAGUACUGCAGGGGAGACUGGAAUUCCUGGUGUAGCGGUGGAAUGCGCAGAUAUCAGGAGGAACACCGGUGGCGAAGGCGGGUCUCUGGGCAGUAACUGACGCUGAGGAGCGAAAGCGUGGGUAGCGAACAGGAUUAGAUACCCUGGUAGUCCACGCCGUAAACGGUGGGUACUAGGUGUGGGUUUC
This 725-nucleotide ribosomal RNA is filed under the name uncultured Mycobacterium sp. RNAcentral describes it as "bacterial SSU rRNA". It matches the Rfam family "Bacterial small subunit ribosomal RNA", at positions 91 to 830 of the family's 1533-position model. Lineage: Bacteria; Bacillati; Actinomycetota; Actinomycetes; Mycobacteriales; Mycobacteriaceae. The record is from RNAcentral.